RNAcentral lists this long non-coding RNA (330 nucleotides) under Taeniopygia guttata (zebra finch). Its description in RNAcentral is "lncRNA (ENSTGUG00000026693.1)". The record is from RNAcentral. Lineage: Eukaryota; Metazoa; Chordata; Aves; Passeriformes; Estrildidae.
AGAGUUUUUUGGAUUGUGAAAUAAUAUCCCAAGAGUAUCUGAGAAGAACCUUUUGUGAGGUGGUACUUUCAAACAGUAAAACUAAACUAAACAUUCUUUCCCGGUUGCCUCUGGAUAAAAGGGCUCAGACAGGACAUUUUCCUUCUGGAAAGAUGCUACUUUGCUUUGAAGGCCACGAACUGCUGCUCCCAGCUUUACUUGUGCAAAGCAUCAGUGGAUAAGAACAAGAAGGUCCUUCACUGGGAGGAACAGUUUUGGGGUUUUUUACCAUGAAGGUAAGCCACUCAUUACUACUCAUAGCAACUGCUCACAAAGGAGAGAGAAGUGUUC